GAAAGUAGCCGUUGAAGGCUAUUCAAAUCUCUUCACAGAUCUCGAGUUGCUUGAGGUAGACUACUUGAUGUGACAUGUCAUACUUUUUUUGACGCUGCAGUCUACUGUUUCACCUACCCUGUCAGAUGUAUCACUUUAAUGUCUUGGGCAGGUUGAAGACUUUAUUACCUCUUUCUGAUUUCUCAAUCAGAGGUUGUCCUAUUGCAUCGAUGCUCU
This 216-nucleotide long non-coding RNA is filed under the name Panax ginseng (ginseng). Its description in RNAcentral is "long non-coding RNA (PGIN_LNC012500)". The record is from RNAcentral. Lineage: Eukaryota; Viridiplantae; Streptophyta; Magnoliopsida; Apiales; Araliaceae.